GACGAACGCUGGCGGCGUGCUUAACACAUGCAAGUCGAACGGAAAGGCCUGCUUUCCCUUGUGGAUUGCGGGUACUCGAGUGGCGAACGGGUGAGUAACACGUGAGUGAUCUGCCCCCAACUUGGGUAUAAGCCUGGGAAACUGGGUCUAAUUCCCGAUAGGACUGCAGGGUGGUGCCUGUGGUGGAAAACGAUUUUCUAGUGGUUGGGGAUGAGCUCGCGGCCUAUCAGCUUGUUGGUGGGGUAAUGGCCUACCAAGGGGGCGACGGGGAGCCGGGCUGGGAGGGUGGACGGCCGCAUUGGGACUGAGAUACGGCCCCGACUCCUACGGGAGGCAGCAGUGGGGAAUAUUGCACGAUGGGCGGAAGCCUGAUGCAGCGACGCCGCGUGGGGGAUGACGGCCUUCGGGUUGUAAACUCCUUUCGACCGCGAGGAAGCCACCUGGUUGGAAGGGUGGUGACGGUAGUGGUAGAAGAAGCACCGGCUAACUACGUG
This 494-nucleotide ribosomal RNA is filed under the name uncultured bacterium. RNAcentral's name for it is "partial 16S ribosomal RNA". It matches the Rfam family "Bacterial small subunit ribosomal RNA", at positions 28 to 507 of the family's 1533-position model. The record is from RNAcentral.